Molecule: long non-coding RNA, 1308 nt
Filed under: Penaeus japonicus
Lineage: Eukaryota; Metazoa; Arthropoda; Malacostraca; Decapoda; Penaeidae
Description: uncharacterized LOC122250380
Source: RNAcentral
GAUCUGAUCUAUAUAUUGAUUUUUUUCCUUUAAUAUAAUUUUUUUUUGUUUUCUUAUAUGUGAUUACCUGGUUGGUCUUUCAAGGAAAUGAAUUGAAACCGGAUGAUGAAAUAGCUGAGGAUUUACUUGAAAUAAAAGAUGAUAUGUUUAUACUGAUAUCUUCCAUUUUUUGAGACCAGUUGGAACAUCUUGAAAUACAAAUUACACAUACAGUAAACAAGAACCCAAGAAAUGGACCAAGGAGAAUCAAGAACCAGAAUGGACGGGAAGUCAGUCAGAGUGUAAAAGCUGUUAUACCAAAAGCAGAAGAAAAUGAGGGUGAUUUUCAUUUUCAUGUGGAGAAUGAUGUAAUUGGCCCAGACUCUGAUGAUGAUGACUCUACGAGAAGAGCUAAAUGUGCUAAAGGCUCAGACGAUGAUUCUCUUGAUGAGAAGGAAAGAGAUGAGUGCAACUUCAGUGCAAUUACAAUUGCUUCAGACAACGCCAUGCCCAUAAGGUACAAACUAUGCUCAUUGUCAUCACCCAUCAGCUUACAGGCAGGGGGUCCUCAACAACCACUCUGUUUCUGCAAACUGAAUGAUGGCAUACCUUGCCAUUCUAUGUUUGAGAGGGCAGUUGUAGAUGAUACUAGAAUAAGGUAUCAGGCAUUAUCCCAUGAUGAGAAGGACAUUGCCAUUCUAUCCAAGAUCGAAUAUGGAAUUCAUAUGAGUCAAGAAACUCAACGGCAAAAAAGACAGAACAGACCGUAAGCAAGGGAACAAGAAACGAUUAUUUUUUUCACGGUCAACAAAUCUGUUGUGACGUUUUUCAUUACAUUCAUAGCAUAGGAGAAAGCCAGAUGGAAAAACUGAUCAAACUGAUCAAAGUCGCCAGUGAAUGCUUUGUGUUUUUAAAAUACCUGGCGCAUAGUUGAUUUUAUCACCAGCCUUGCUGAUGUCCAUGACAUCAUAGACACGUGACUGUGUCUUGCACCUCCCCAAAGAAGACUGUGUAUGAAGCCUAUGAAAAGGCUGCACAAGAAUCAGAUGUUAGUGUGGCUACUGAGCUUACCAUCUGGCAUAUUACAGAACAUGGCGCUGUUUGUCUCAACAGUGAAGCCAACAUAAGACCUUUGCUUCAUUUGUCAGAAAGAUAAAGUAUAGAGGGAAGGAAUAAACUUUAAUUUCUAUGUGUCAUGAAGAGAUGAUUUAUUUAUUUAUUUUCCAAGCAUGAUGUGUGUUGUGAGUAUUUAAUUCUUUUUUCUUUUUAAUUAAAACAAAAAAAAAAUCAGCCUUUGCCAUAGGUUUUAUGAUUUAACUAGAAAUAGGC